CCGCCGGGACGACUCGGCGGCUGUGUGCUGAGUGGGGACGGCCCC
RNAcentral lists this non-coding RNA (45 nucleotides) under Leucobacter sp. G161. RNAcentral's name for it is "Guanidine-II riboswitch aptamer (mini-ykkC)". It matches the Rfam family "Guanidine-II riboswitch aptamer (mini-ykkC)". From Rfam's summary of the family: Simpler in structure and has fewer highly conserved nucleotide positions than the ykkC-yxkD leader. Despite this each of its two stem-loop structures directly bind free guanidine. Therefore, mini-ykkC RNA motif represents a distinct class of guanidine-sensing RNAs. Lineage: Bacteria; Bacillati; Actinomycetota; Actinomycetes; Micrococcales; Microbacteriaceae. RNAcentral also lists the same sequence under 1 other name. The record is from Rfam by way of RNAcentral.